UAUAUUUUAGUGUAAGAUGCACGAAAAUUUUUGAUAUCAUUAGUAAUAGUUCAAUUCUAUUAAAUAUAA
Molecule: transfer RNA, 69 nt
Filed under: Janus compressus
Lineage: Eukaryota; Metazoa; Arthropoda; Insecta; Hymenoptera; Cephidae
Description: tRNA-Gln
Rfam family: tRNA
About the family: Transfer RNA (tRNA) molecules are approximately 80 nucleotides in length. Their secondary structure includes four short double-helical elements and three loops (D, anti-codon, and T loops).
Source: RNAcentral